AUCGAAUAUCAGUAGGUUGGCCCAGUACCGGUUAACCAAAUUGAAAACGACAAGAGAAAGAGAAGAAAGGAAGAAAACGAUCGACGGGGAAAAGUCGCGGGCGACACUCAAGGAAACGACCUCGUUAUUUCUAGAAUACGGUGAAUUGGACAAACCAUGGCGCGAAUAAAUGUCUGUGAAUUGGCUCUUGUUCUAGUCUCUUGCCUUUUUAUAAAAGUUCUAAUAGUAGAAGGAUCCAAACGCAUUAAAGAAAUUUUAACAUAGGAAACUCGUUGAAAUAUAUAUGCCAAUGUACUAAUAUGAAACACGUCACAUCACAUAAUAGGAUUAUUCCCAAAUCGACACAUGUGAAACAGAAGAUUGAGACAAUAUCAUAUCACAUCGACACGUGUGAAACAAAAGACUUGAGCAAUGUCUAACAACAAGAAUCUUCAAAGCUAUUAAACACAAGUUUCUAUAUGUAUGUAUAUGAUAUACUGACAAGUAUAUUGAAUAUGAGACAAUAUAUGAUAUAAGAAAGAAUUUCUAUUCCCUCGAUUCGACAACCCUAACGCGCAUUACGUUGAGUCGCGUGGUAGCAAAAAUAAAAAAAUUAAAGAUUUUCCCGGAUCGUCGGUGAAAAGGUUCCAACGUUUUCGAGUAGGUUAGUAUUGCAGCAGAAUGCAUGCACAAGUUCUGAAAAUAGCCGGACGAUACGACCAUUGCUACGCAGCCGAUGGAAACGCGUGUUUAUCCUCUUCGCCAUAACCGACGUGCCGAAUGAAGUCGUCAAUGGUGUUUCCUGAGAAAACAACGCGCGUGCAACGAACUGUUGAACCAAGACUGUGUUUUAUUAUCGAGGCCAAUUAAUAGAGUUCGAUGGCAUUUCUACAGCAUCGUGACGUAUCAUUCCAUUCGUUUCAACUCAAUAAUUAAUAAAU
Molecule: unclassified non-coding RNA, 920 nt
Filed under: Bombus terrestris (buff-tailed bumblebee)
Lineage: Eukaryota; Metazoa; Arthropoda; Insecta; Hymenoptera; Apidae
Description: misc RNA ENSBTSG00005024394.1
Source: RNAcentral